Molecule: long non-coding RNA, 742 nt
Organism: Achroia grisella
Lineage: Eukaryota; Metazoa; Arthropoda; Insecta; Lepidoptera; Pyralidae
Exons: 5
Source: RefSeq, a predicted model, not a curated record
UUUUUUUUUUAUUUAAUAUUUUACGGCUCUGGAUACAAGUCCUUUUUAGCCCAACAUAAGAUACAAAACCUAAAAAAAAAUUAUAAUUUCUUCCCAGUGUUAGAAAUAAAUUUAUAUAAAAUCUUGUAUAGUGCAGGCCUUGAUAAGAUCUCUUCUAGAGACUUCGGUACUUCAUUAAUAUGCUCUUGAAUCUCGUGAAUGAGUAAUAAUCUGUCGAGUCCGUAUUUUCUACAUUUGAAUAUAAUAUGAUUCAAAUCUUCGUCUUCAUUGCAGUGAGGACAUUUUGGGUUGUGAACCAUUUUCAUUCUGUAUAGGUAAAUAACCAGAUAAAAGUCGGUUAAAGUCUACAUAAGGGCCUGGUGUAACUGAUUCAACAACUUUGGGAGACUUUGCCUGGUAUGCCAAUAUCAUCAAGAAUGUGAAUCAUGAUUGAAGGGUCAACAUUAUCAAAUGCACCCUGGAUAUCUAAGAAAGCACAUACUGUAAAGGAAUGGCUAUGGAAAGAAUUUUUUAUAUCUGCAAUUAAGGCAGUAAAACUUUCAGCAGCGCUCCUGCCUUUCCGGAAACCAAAUUGUUGAGAAGGAGGGGACAAUGGAGCAUAUUUUUCAAUAAAUGAUGGUAUCCAUUCAUCAUUUUUUGGGGAUUUAUGUACAGAUUCAGAAUGAAACUUGGACCAAUCUGCUUUAGAAUAAAUAUACUGUUCUGUGGGAAGUCCUAUAUCAUAUUUUUCUAUAGAUGUUUG